GCCCAGAUGGCUCAGUCAGUAGAGCAUUAGACUUUUAAUCUGUGGGUCUAGUGUUCAAGUCCUUGUUCAGGCA
This 73-nucleotide transfer RNA is filed under the name Heterocephalus glaber (naked mole-rat). It matches the Rfam family "tRNA". Rfam says of the family: Transfer RNA (tRNA) molecules are approximately 80 nucleotides in length. The record is from Rfam by way of RNAcentral. Lineage: Eukaryota; Metazoa; Chordata; Mammalia; Rodentia; Bathyergidae.